CUGCGAAUGGCUCAUUAAAUCAGUUAUCGUUUAUUUGAUAGUACCUUACUACUUGGAUAACCGUGGUAAUUCUAGAGCUAAUACAUGCUAAAAACCUCGACUUCGGAAGGGGUGUAUUUAUUARAUAAAAAACCAAUGCCCUUCGGGGCUCCUUGGUGAUUCAUAAUAACUUAACGAAUCGCAUGGCCUUGUGCCGGCGAUGGUUCAUUCAAAUUUCUGCCCUAUCAACUUUCGAUGGUAGGAUAGUGGCCUACCAUGGUUUCAACGGGUAACGGGGAAUUAGGGUUCUAUUCCGGAGAGGGAGCCUGAGAAACGGCUACCACAUCCAAGGAAGGCAGCAGGCGCGCAAAUUACCCAAUCCCGACACGGGGAGGUAGUGACAAUAAAUACUGAUACAGGGCUCUUUUGGGUCUUGUAAUUGGAAUGAGUACAAUUUAAAUCCCUUAACGAGGAACAAUUGGAGGGCAAGUYUGGUGCCAGCAGCCGCGGUAAUUCCAGCUCCAAUAGCGUAUAUUAAAGUUGUUGCAGUUAAAAAGCUYGUAGUUGAACCUUGGGCCUGGCUGGCCGGUCCGCCUCACCGCGUGCACUGGUCCGGCCGGGCCUUUCCUUCUGGGGAGCCGCAUGCCCUUCACUGGGUGUGUCGGGGAACCAGGACUUUUACUUUGAAAAAAWUAGAGUGUUCAAAGCAGGCCUAUGCUCGAAUACAUUAGCAUGGAAUAAUAGAAUAGGACGUGUGGUUCUAUUUUGUUGGUUUCUAGGACCGCCGUAAUGAUUAAUAGGGAUAGUCGGGGGCAUCAGUAUUCAAUUGUCAGAGGUGAAAUUYUUGGAUUUAUUGAAGACUAACUACUGCGAAAGCAUUUGCCAAGGAUGUUUUCAUUAAUCAGUGAACGAAAGUUAGGGGAUCGAAGACGAUCAGAUACCGUCGUAGUCUUAACCAUAAACUAUGCCGACUAGGGAUCGGGCGAUGUUAUCUUUAUGACUCGCUCGGCACCUUACGAGAAAUCAAAGU
Molecule: ribosomal RNA, 1009 nt
Filed under: Pezicula italica
Lineage: Eukaryota; Fungi; Ascomycota; Leotiomycetes; Helotiales; Dermateaceae
Description: SSU rRNA
Source: RNAcentral